Molecule: long non-coding RNA, 272 nt
Filed under: Ornithorhynchus anatinus (platypus)
Lineage: Eukaryota; Metazoa; Chordata; Mammalia; Monotremata; Ornithorhynchidae
Description: lncRNA (ENSOANG00000036636.1)
Source: RNAcentral
UAAUUCAGCAUAAUCUUUUGACAUUUGAAAAUGUGGACUUUGGUUUUGUUUUGUUUGCAGAGUGGAGUGACCCAGCCAGCAAAGGUACCAGCAAGUCAGUGCCACAAAAGUCAAUGCUUGAGGAUGACCUGAAACUCAGCAGUGAUGAAGACGACAGCGAACAGGCUGCUGAAAAGACAAAACCUAGAAACAUUCCCAUAAAGUAAGUUACUUUUAUAUCAGUUGGAAAUUUCAACUUUAAUGAACUCCAUGCAAAGAAAAAAAAUUAAAAC